GCCAAUUGCACAGGCAGAAUAUUCCCCUCUCCUUGUAUCCCUUCUCCCAGCUCCACCGUCUCGCCGAGUGCCAGCAAGAGUCAUGAGUACUUGUCAACUCGACUCCUCAACUGGAGAUAACUUUCUAGCACCUCACCAUGGGGAAGGACGCAUUCAUAUGCCUUCACCAGCACCUGCAUUAAACAUGCAGAGACA
Entelurus aequoreus (snake pipefish) is the source of this 195-nucleotide long non-coding RNA. RefSeq lists it as uncharacterized. The record is from RefSeq and is a predicted model, not a curated record. The transcript is spliced from 3 exons. Lineage: Eukaryota; Metazoa; Chordata; Actinopteri; Syngnathiformes; Syngnathidae.